GGGACUCAACAUUCCUAGAAACACAGGGAAUCAAGUUGGAUCAAAUGUAACCCUCUUAAACGUUGACCAAAUACCAGGGGUUAACACUCUUGCUAUCUCACUUGCUCGUAUAGACUAUGCAGCAAAUGGUGGUUUAAAUCCUCCCCACAUUCAUCCUCGUGCCUCAGAAAUCCUUCUGGUCCUUGAGGGCAACCUUUACGUUGGUUUUGUCACAUCCAACCCCAACCGCCUUAUCAGCAAAGUAUUAAACCCAGGAGACGUUUUCGUGUUUCCAAUUGGCCUCAUUCACUUUCAGUUCAAUAUUGCAAAGACCAAUGGAGUUGCUAUUGCUAGUUUAAACAGCCAAAAUCCUGGAGUUAUCACUGUAGCAAAUGCAACAUUCGGAACUAAUCCACCUAUUAAUCCUGAUGUCCUCGCUAAGGCCUUCCAGCUAGACGAGAAAGUAGUGGAAAAUCUUCAGAAAAAGUUUGGUGGGAGCAACAACUAGGCAGACAUGCAUAAAACCACCAGUGAACCAGUAACCUUCUAUGGUAAUCAAUGUCGUCCAAUAUUCCUUGUAGUAGAAUAAAACAAAGAGUGAUUUCCUAUUACAUGCCAUUGUCUAUGUUCAUGGUUGCAGUAUGAAACAUUCAAAUUUUUGUCAAAUAAGCUCCCUCUCCUCCUAUUUCAGCAGCUCAGUUAGCAAGUAGACUAAAAUUUUAAUUUCUAUCUACAGUUAUUUGACUAAAGUACUUAAAAAG
RNAcentral lists this unclassified non-coding RNA (740 nucleotides) under Hevea brasiliensis (rubber tree). Lineage: Eukaryota; Viridiplantae; Streptophyta; Magnoliopsida; Malpighiales; Euphorbiaceae. The record is from RNAcentral.